Long non-coding RNA from Gymnodraco acuticeps, 5542 nucleotides. RefSeq lists it as uncharacterized. NCBI's taxonomy places the organism in Eukaryota, Metazoa, Chordata, Actinopteri, Perciformes, Bathydraconidae. The record is from RefSeq and is a predicted model, not a curated record. The transcript has 5 exons.
UGAAAUGACAACUGACAGGGAGGAAGAGCAGGUAUUUAAGGAAUUUAGCCUGUGCAGCAAUUGGCUGCUCGUAUUUAAUGAGAGGGGAAGGGAGCAAUAGAGUGACGUGUAAGUGACUCAUGUUAGGUCUUCCUUAUUGAACUUGCGCUAAAGCUUUCAUUUGUAGAACAUCUUUUUAAAGAAACAGUUUAAUGGAAUGGACGUAUUGGCUCUUCAGCAGAAACUUUGAUAAGGAGAAGGAUUUUUAUGAAAGUUGCAUUUCAAACCAUACUGCGCUACUUGAAUAAAAACUCAAACAAUAAAUGUAUUUCAAUGUGAAACAACAUCUAACAGAACCAUGUUAGUUCACUUUAAACAGGUGAGUUUAUGUUUAAAUAAAUUUGUCUGUCUUUUUUCCUAUGUUUAAACUGAAAAUAAACUUAAUUUAAAAUCAUGACUGAUCUGUUUGAAGAGAAAAUAGGGAAUGCAAUACAACACACUGCAUGGUCGUACACAGAAAAACGACAUUUGCAUGUUUGCAUUCAGACAAAGCAGAAGAGCUUAACCACUGGGCUCAUUCUCUGCUUGCAAAGCACUGUUUAACUAUUUCAAAGAGAAACAGAUUCAACACACCUUUAGUAAAUACAGAAAAUUAUUUGAACACCCUAAAGCGUAUAUUCAUUAAAUAAUAUUGAUAAAAGUCAAACAAACCCUUUUUAUUAUCAUACUGCUACUGUUCAGCACCGCAGACGGAUGUGGCCGAUGCUAAGUGGCUCAAUGCUUCUCUGAUCAAACAUAAAGUUCAUAUUUUAUUCUAAACUAAACUCAGUAGGCAUUAUCCAUUACUCUUAUCUUACUCUAUCUUGGUUUGCAAGGACUCUCUUUGCCUAACCCAUUACUCCCGCCCUUUAACUUUUUUCACACAUAUGUCAGACUUAAAGAUAACUGUCAUGAUGAUGUCAAUACAAAGAUAAUUGAGUUGCAUUAUGGGAAUGAGGUUGUCUUUAUGAUGACUGAAAUAUAUGAAACUCAAGACUCUGUGUAUGUACACGUUGAAACUAAAAGGUGUGACUUGAGCCGAACAAUAUGUCCUUACUCUAAAAAACGCAAUUUAAACGUGUCCUAAAAAGAAGACACAUUUAAGUGGAUUAGGUUAAAUUAAUUGAGUUAAUUAGAAGUUAAACAAGAUUACACCUUAACAUCCAGAGGGGUUUGUUGAAAGGCCGCGUAUAAACCCUAAAUUGUCCAAGGUGGAGUAACAUUGGCUCAUUUCACACCUUCCUUUCAUGGGAAAUUGCCCAAUUGUAUUGAACGUGUCCUCAUUGGAAUAAUUAAACAGUGUUUAAAUGAACUCUUUAAGCCACAGCUGAAGGUUUAUAAAGACUGCAUUUUCUUCUCCCUCCAUCACUCGCUACCUUCUUCCGCAAAGACAACAUCAUCAGAUAAUCCUCACAACAAAGGUAAGACUUUCCUCUCAGCAUUGCAUCAAAUGAUUAUUCUUAAUUAUACUAGGAAUUUUCUUCCAAAAGAUAACUUUUUUUUAAGGGUGCUUAAAAUAUUGUAUUGAAAAGUUAAAAAGUUAAAUUGAAAGCAUUUCCAAUUUUAAUGAAUUAAAAACGUGUUUGAAUCAUCCCAGUGUAUGGAAGUAAAUCUGUUCUAUCUGAAUAAUUAUGCAUUGAAAUUAUGUAUCUGGAUCUUUUGCCUCUGAAUUUCGUUGUUCGAAAACACAUUGUUUUCACCUUUUUUUUAAUGUUCACAAAUUCAGCUGCAAAGAUUUAGCUACAAAAAAUGUAGAUCAUCAUCCUGGAACCCAAGGAAAAGCAAUCGAUUGUAGAUCAAGUCAAACGCCCAGCCAAAUCAAGCUACGCUUAUUCACUGCGUUGGUCACGGAAAUGGAUUUGUGUCUGAAUUUUUGCUGCUGAAUUUGUGAACAUUGAAAAAAAAUAGUGAAAACGAGUUGUAGAAAAUUCGAACAAUGAAUUUCAGAGGCAAACAAUUCAGAUACAUAAUUUCAAUGCACAAUUAUUAAGUGAAAGACAAUGGCUUUCUAAUUUCUAAAUCAGAUGGAACAUAUUGACUUCCAUACCAGUGUUAAGGCUCUUUAGAGUAUCUGAAUGCAAACAUGUGUUUUCUGCGACCACGCAGUGUGUUGUAUUUACUUUCCUAUUUUAUAUUUACACAGAUGCCAUCAGUUAUUCAUCUUGCUGGGCUCUUGCUUAUCAGUGGACUGGUGUUGAUGACAUCUGCAGGUCUCCGUGGCAGACGUUGAAGAGCAGGAAUUCUUGAAAUCUGUGAUUUUAUCAAACAUCGCAAGCAUCACAUAUGGUGCCUGGAUCGGAGGCUAUGAUGCUAUCAUGGUUUCCCACACUCCUAAUACCACAGCUGUUACCUCCUGUUACUCACGCUGAGUUCCUGCUCAGUUUGACUUGUUGUGCUCUGGGAACAAGUGCAGUUUGGUUGUCUACCUAAAAAGCUUGAGCUCAGCCUGUUGAAAACCUUUUGCAUGAGGACAAUUGGAAGUGGAGCGACGGCUCUGCCUUCACCUUCGGGUGCUGGGGAAACUGCAUGGAGAUGCAUACUGAUGGGAAAUACAAUGACCUUGGCUGUGAUAAUUCAAUAGCUUACAUCUGUGCUCAAGACAUGUAAUGAUGUCCGCCAUAUCACAUCCUUCCUGAUGAGGACAUCACUUCCACCGAGAUGUCAGGCCGCGAUGACAUUAACGCUGAAAAGUUUAGAAUUUAAGGGAAUUUGGAUCCACUUUGAAUUAACUCUGUAAAAGCAUUUAUUUAAGACAAUUACCAGUCUUGAGAUUGUUAUUGUUUAUUGAAUAAACUUUACAGGUGGAAUUGAAAGUGAAAUAUAAAACACUUGCAUUCAAUAAAACAAAAAUAUAACUGAUCUUUUGUAUUGUCAUUUCUCAUAUCCUGUAUAUAAGUCCAUGUUAAUAGUGUGUACACAUAGCCAGCUAGAAGGUUAAUAAAAGAGGACUAAAAGUUCAUAGCCAGCUUAAAACACUGUUUGCCAUCAAAGUUUGGGGGAGAGAAACUCCCACUGGAGGGAAUUUGGGGAUUUUAGCCUUUGCAGACCAUUUACAUGCCUAAAGAAAAAGAAAGCAGAAUUGGUCCCCUCAAAGAAACUGCUUCCAAUGUAUUGCUGCACAAAAUUGUUUUUUCCAAUGGUACUAAUUAAAGUAAGUAUACUUAUACUUAACUAGAAACAGAAUCAACUAAAGUUACAUUUUCCUGUUUUUCUCGAGUCACUAGGUUGACGUCAGUCAAGCUUACAUUUCAUAAUUGAACCAAAUCUUCUACAGUGACGGAUGAAGAAAUUGUCUUGGUAUAUUUUGCUGUAUGAGAUGCUGCUCAGGCGAUGUUGAAGCAAUAAUGUUGCAAACCAACAAGUUAAUAGGUGAAUUAAGAAACUUAAACUCACUUACCAACUUCCCAGUUGACGCACUUUUGUGGGCAAAAUUUGUAUUAUUACAACAAACACAGGAAAAUUAUCCUGGCAGAAAAAGUCUAUGGUAUUUAAUUGAAUGAAUAUCACCACUGAUUGAAUGUGCCUGCAGUCAAAGAGAAUAAGAUAUUACAUGGCAACGGUUCAUUAUCCAUAAAAGUAUUUGUGAAUUAUGAGAGUAUCUGUCAUUUAUGUGUCAAACAAGCAAGAGUUGUUAACAAUGAUGGCGCUAUAUAACUGUUUAAUUAUGUCAACAGCAUAAUUAGAUGCACAAGAAGACAGUAUGAUAUUUGCAUCUAGAGCUGAACUUAAAUUGAACCAAAGCAAACAUGUGGCUCUGUGUUCAUCUGACAGAUAGUAAAGGUGUUAGGAAGUGGGACUUGAAUCCUGUAUUGAUCAACGGAUGAGUCAAUAAGCUGUGAGGUCUUUCUGGUAACAAUUUAAGUUUAGCUGAAGGCGCUCAUAAUUUACGGUUUGCUUGUGCACCUAAUUAUGCUGUUGAGAUAAUGAACUCUUUAUAUAGCACCGUCACUGUUAACUCUUCUCAGAUUGCUUUAUUCUUCAAAUAAAUACAAAAGCAAAGACAUUUCAUGUAGCUUAAAUUCAGUUUAAUUUGUGCAGGAAACGUGUUUAAUUGCACUUAAUUUAAUUUUGUUUAAUUGCACAAGUGGACUAGCAGAACUCUAUACCACUAUAAUUCAUCACGUGUUUCAUCCUCUCUUUGUUUUCAGUGCUUUACUUGUGCUUGGUCCAUCCACACAUCCAAAAAGGCCAUGUUCAAACCACACAAGUAAAAGCCUUUCAGCGAGUGGCUCAGUUUCAGUUGCUAACCCCUGGUCUUCCUCCUCUGUGGCUCUAUGUGUUUUCUCCUGUUUGGUCUGAUUGAUCGAGUAAAUCCCCAGCCUCCUUCACUGUAACAAGGAAUAACGUUUCUCUUAAAUCAAGCUAUACAGGGGACACUAUUUCAAUUGUUUUAGCUGUUGUCUUUAUUUCUGUGUAUUACUUAUACACUUUCAUGCAUGAACGUUCAUCACAAACAUUUCUGAAGGGUUUCCUGUGAGAGAUUCACUGUCUGGACCACCAGUCUCUAGCCCACAAAAAGCAACGUAUUGAUUUAAUUAUUCAUGAUUCAUGUUUGAUUUCCCGUUUGUCAUCAUUCAAUCAUUCACCGAAUCAUAGACUGUUGAGAAAAAACCGUUUUUACAGGGACGAAAAUGUAUUAAUGUCACCUCUGUUGGUAAAGCAGCGUUCAGUUAUUAUGCUCCAAAUAUCUGGAACAAACUCCCAGAAACCUGCAGGUCCGCUGCAACUCUGACUACUUUUAAAUCCAGGCUGAAGACUUUUCUUUUUGUCGCUGCUUUUAAUUGAACUAUUCAUAUCUUAGACUGCACUGUAACUUUUAUCCAUGUAUUUUUUCUUUUAAUGUUUUAAAUUUAAACGUAAUUAAUUUCUCCAUGACAUUUAUGAGAGGGACUGCUCGAAAGUAGGAUAUUUGGGAUAUCCAUCGUAGCCAGGGUUUACGAUCAGUUUUUAGGUGAGUUGUACUGAGGAACAAGUAUCACAGCACCGACGGGUGAAAAAUAGUGUUUAGGUAACACGGGGUGUUCAGGUAACACUUAAAGACUUUGUUAUGGAACGCAAAGCAGAGUAGGGGGCUAGUACACCCUCCUGAGGGUCCGAUUGUGGAUGUCAUGCGAGCAAAACAUGGUGAAAACAAUCAGUCUAAAUUAACAAUCGGGACGGAAAUGGUCGGAUUUCCAAAGGGAGGUUCUGUGAAUAAAUAAAAAAUCAAGAACCGAAAUAAUUGAACUAUUCAUAUCUUAGACUGCACUGUAACUUCUAUCUUUUAAUGUUUAUUUUAUUAGCUUUUCUUUUUAAUGACUGAUUUUAAAUGCCAUUUUCUUAAUGUCUUUCAUUUUUUGUUUUUCUUUGAAUGUUUCUUUUAUUAUCUUUUACUGUUUUUAAAUGCCUUUGUCUGAAUGUCUUUCAUUUUUGUAAAGCACCUUGAAUUGCCUGGUGCUGAAAGGUGAUAUAUAAAUAAACUUGCCUUGCCUCUGUUAACCUUGGAAACGUUGACAUGUGAGGAAUUCUCUUUAUUAAAAUAUCU